GUGGGGAAUUUUGGACAAUGGGCGCAAGCCUGAUCCAGCAAUGCCGCGUGCAGGAAGAAGGCCUUCGGGUUGUAAACUGCUUUUGUACGGAACGAAACGGUCUGGGUUAAUACCCUGGACUAAUGACGGUACCGUAAGAAUAAGCACCGGCUAACUACGUGCCAGCAGCCGCGGUAAUACGUAGGGUGCAAGCGUUAAUCGGAAUUACUGGGCGUAAAGCGUGCGCAGGCGGUUUUGUAAGACAGGCGUGAAAUCCCCGGGCUCAACCUGGGAAUUGCGCUUGUGACUGCAAGGCUGGAGUGCGGCAGAGGGGGAUGGAAUUCCGCGUGUAGCAGUGAAAUGCGUAGAUAUGCGGAGGAACACCGAUGGCGAAGGCAAUCCCCUGGGCCUGCACUGACGCUCAUGCACGAAAGCGUGGGGAGCAAACAGGAUUAGAUACCCUUGUAGUCC
Molecule: ribosomal RNA, 450 nt
Filed under: uncultured bacterium
Lineage: Bacteria
Description: partial 16S ribosomal RNA
Rfam family: Bacterial small subunit ribosomal RNA
Source: RNAcentral